This 497-nucleotide ribosomal RNA is filed under the name Fusarium oxysporum. Its description in RNAcentral is "SSU rRNA". It matches the Rfam family "Bacterial small subunit ribosomal RNA", at positions 450 to 929 of the family's 1533-position model. The record is from RNAcentral. Lineage: Eukaryota; Fungi; Ascomycota; Sordariomycetes; Hypocreales; Nectriaceae.
UUUGUUUAUAUAUUGAUAAUGACAGUAUAUAUAUCGUGUCUUGACUAAUUGCGUGCCAGCAGUCGCGGUAAUACGUAAGAGACUAGUGUUAUUCAUCUUAAUUAGGUUUAAAGGGUACCCAGACGGUCAAUAUAGCUUAUAAAAUGUUAGUACUUGACUAGAGUUUUAUGUAAGAGGGCAGUACUUGAGGAGGAGAGAUGAAAUUUCGUGAUACCAAAGGGACUCUGUAAAGGCGAAGGCAGCCCUCUAUGUAAAAACUGACGUUGAAGGACGAAGGCACAGAGAACAAACAGGAUUAGAUACCCAAGUAGUCUUUGCAGUAAAUGAUGAAUGCCAUAGGUUAGAUUAAUCAAAUAUAGUCUAGGGUUAGUCUAGCAAACUAAUGACCUAUACUAUAAUGAAAAAUAUCUGGUCUAUAAAUGAAAGUGUAAGCAUUUCACCUCAAGAGUAAUGUGGCAACGCAGGAACUGAAAUCACUAGACCGUUUCUGACACCAG